AUACGGAGGAUGCGAGCGUUAUCCGGAUUUAUUGGGUUUAAAGGGUGCGUAGGCGGACGAUUAAGUCAGCUGUGAAAUGCCUGCGCUUAACGCGGGAAGUGCAGUUGAUACUGGUUGUCUGGAGUGCCGUUGCCGUGGGGGGAAUGUGUAGUGUAGCGGUGAAAUGCAUAGAUAUUACACAGAACGCCGAUUGUGAAGACACCUCACGAAGCGGUAACUGACGCUGAGGCACGAAAGCGUGAGGAUCAAACAGGAUUAGAUACCCUGGUAGUCCACGCAGUAAACGAUGAAUACUAGCUGUAUGCGAUAUACUGUAUGUGGCAAAGCGAAAGCAUUAAGUAUUCCACCUGGGGAGUACGUUCGCAAGAAUGAAACUUAAAGGAAUUGACGGGG
RNAcentral lists this ribosomal RNA (393 nucleotides) under uncultured bacterium. RNAcentral's name for it is "partial 16S ribosomal RNA". It matches the Rfam family "Bacterial small subunit ribosomal RNA", at positions 523 to 918 of the family's 1533-position model. The record is from RNAcentral.